CCUACGGGAGGCAGCAGUGAGGAAUAUUGGUCAAUGGGCGGAAGCCUGAACCAGCCAAGUAGCGUGCGGGAUGAAGGCCCUACGGGUCGUAAACCGCUUUUGCACGGGGAUAACACCCUCCACUUGUGGAGGUCUGCAGGUACCGUGCGAAUAAGGGCCGGCUAAUUCCGUGCCAGCAGCCGCGGUAAUACGGAAGGCCCGAGCGUUAUCCGGAUUCAUUGGGCUUAAAGGGAGCGUAGGCGGGCGUUCAAGGUAGCUGUAAAAUCGCGCGGCUCAACCGCGCCCCGCAGUUGAAACUGGACGCAUUGAGUUCACAACAGGCAGGCGGAAUGCGUGGUGUAGCGGUGAAAUGCAUAGAUAUCACGAGGAACCCCGAUUGCGAAGGCAGCCUGCCGGGGUGCGACUGACGCUGAGGCUCGAAGGUGCGGGUAUCAAACAGGAUUAGAUACCCCAGUAGUC
Molecule: ribosomal RNA, 459 nt
Filed under: uncultured bacterium
Lineage: Bacteria
Description: partial 16S ribosomal RNA
Rfam family: Bacterial small subunit ribosomal RNA
Source: RNAcentral